Molecule: ribosomal RNA, 253 nt
Filed under: uncultured bacterium
Lineage: Bacteria
Description: partial 16S ribosomal RNA
Rfam family: Bacterial small subunit ribosomal RNA
Source: RNAcentral
UACAGAGGUGCCGAGCGUUAGGCGGAAUCACUGGGCUUAAGGCGUGUGUAGGCGGACCGGUAAGUACCUUGUGAAAUCCCACGGCUCAACCGUGGAACUGCUGGGUAUACUGCCGGUCUUGAGCGACUUAGGGGCAGACGGAACAAGUGGUGGAGCGGUGAAAUGCGUAGAUAUCGGGAGGAACACCAGUGGCGAAAGCGGCUACCUGGCCCAUUCUUGACGCUGAGGCGCGAAAGCUAGGGGAGCAAACGGG